This 253-nucleotide ribosomal RNA is filed under the name uncultured bacterium. RNAcentral describes it as "partial 16S ribosomal RNA". It matches the Rfam family "Bacterial small subunit ribosomal RNA", at positions 524 to 776 of the family's 1533-position model. The record is from RNAcentral.
UACAGAGGUCCCGAGCGUUGUUCGGAUUCACUGGGCGUAAAGGGUGCGCAGGUGGGUUGGUAAGUUUGAUGUGAAAGCCCCGGGCUUAACCCGGGAAUGGCAUUGAAUACUACUGAUCUGGAGGAUUGGAGGGGGGACUGGAAUUCUUGGUGUAGCAGUGAAAUGCGUAGAUAUCAAGAGGAACACCAGUGGCGAAGGCGAGUCCCUGGACAAUACCUGACACUGAGGCACGAAAGCCGGGGGAGCAAACAGG